AGCUGAGGGGUGGUGCAUGGCCGUCGUCAGUUCGUACUGUGAAGCAUCCUGUUAAGUCAGGCAACGAGCGAGACCCACGUCCACAGUUGCCAGCAUACCCUCCGGGGUGAUGGGUACACUGUGGAGACCGCCGCUGCUAAAGCGGAGGAAGGAGUGGGCAACGGUAGGUCAGUAUGCCCCGAAUCUCCCGGGCUACACGCGGGCUACAAUGGUUGGUACAAUGGGCAUCUACCCCGAAAGGGGAAGGAAAUCUCUUAAAGCCAAUCGUAGUUCGGAUUGAGGGCUGCAACUCGCCCUCAUGAAGCUGGAAUCCGUAGUAAUCGCGUUUCAACAGAACGCGGUGAAUACGUCCCUGCUCCUU
RNAcentral lists this ribosomal RNA (361 nucleotides) under uncultured Methanosaeta sp. RNAcentral's name for it is "bacterial SSU rRNA". It matches the Rfam family "Archaeal small subunit ribosomal RNA", at positions 978 to 1338 of the family's 1478-position model. Lineage: Archaea; Methanobacteriati; Methanobacteriota; Methanomicrobia; Methanotrichales; Methanotrichaceae. The record is from RNAcentral.